Molecule: long non-coding RNA, 746 nt
Organism: Dermacentor silvarum
Lineage: Eukaryota; Metazoa; Arthropoda; Arachnida; Ixodida; Ixodidae
Exons: 5
Source: RefSeq, a predicted model, not a curated record
UGACGCGGGUAGCGCUGCCGGUUUCGGGCCUAGAUUUGUGCCGGUGUUUGCCGUGAUAUUGCCGUGCUGGGGCCAGCCUGGUUGUGCUGCCUGGGACGUAGUGAAAUAAGCAACGUCCGUCGCAUGUGUGUGGUUGGCGAAACUUCAAAGCAUGUCGAAUAACAAUUGCUGUGUGGUGGGGUGCUCAAACACCUACAAAAACUCGCCGGGGACGCGGUUUUACCCAUUCCCCGCGAGGCCUCAUGAGCAGGAGCGACGGAAACAAUGGAUCGCCGCCGUUCGUCGGGAAAGUGCAGAUGGCAGUCCAUGGCAGCCUACCAGACACACCAAGAUCUGCAGCUGUCACUUUUUAAAUGGCGAGAAGUCGAACGAUCCGAGAAGCCCUGCCUAUCUACACACCUUGUUUCCAAGUGUGUACAGGUCUACCAAAGUUGCUACUGCACACACGUAUUAAAGGCUCCGGCCACGUGAGCAGCAUGGACAAGCCACAUGGAGCUGUGUGUUGCCAGUUCCUGAUGACCAAGAUGGGUGGUGCAACUGCAGUGCACACAAGUGCAGGUAGGAACGCAGACAGACCCUUGCAAAUGGUUCUCGGAUGUGGAUAUGCCGAGCCUCUUCUUUUGUUGUUUAAAAGAAUGUGAAGCUGAGACGCAGGUUGUUCUGCCCUGCAAGAAGGAAAGCAAAGAUGCAUCAUGGGGAACAUCCUACGACGUCAAGAACGCUGCAUGUGAUGCCAUGAACGUUGA